GUAUUUGAGAUCUGGGUUGGAGUCUAAAGUGAGAUUUUUUUGUGUUCCCCAAAAGCUACAGAUUCAACACCACUUUGGGGAGAAUUUUAUCAGAAAGAAACCUGGAAGACAUAUGUCUGCUACAUUAGAUCUUUUUUCUUUGGAUGUAUGAAGGUUUGGAAACCAUAUACAACAAUGGGAAUGAAGAUAGGACCUGCCCACAUAGAAGCAUAGUUGGAAGAGUAUAAAAACAAUGACACAGGGAAAGAUCAUGUUGAUGUCCAACACAAGGGAAGCAGAAGAAAAUGAGAGCUUAUUAUGGAUCUCCAGGGUCUGUUCUUUGAGCCGGGGUUUCCCUGGAUAUCCUGGAACUAGCUCAGUAGACCCGACUGACUGUGCUGUGAUUAAACGCAUGUACCAACACUGUCCUGCUAUUCACUGUUAAGCACAGCCUCCCACUCUGGCAUUAUUUGGGAACACUGUUGGCUUCUUGAUAACAGUGGUGAUAGGAUCGGUUUUUAACUGAGGACGAUCUUGAAUUUCUGAUUUCUACCUUCUGAGCUCAUUUCUGGGGAUUGAAUCCAGGGUUUCCUGCAUGCCAGAUAUCACAAAGGAAAGCUUCUUUAGGAGUCCAUCUUAACCCGGUCAGAAGAGCUGUCAACAGCAAACAGUGACAACAAAAUGCUGCAGAGAAUGGAAGGAAGGAGGGGCUGAUAAGCUAUUGUCAUGGGUAUGAAACUGUGCAACCACUCCAGAAAUUAGAGUGGAGGCUCCUCACAAACUAGAAAUGGGCUUAUACCAUAUGACCCAGCCAUAGCGGUCUUCGGUGUGCACCCAAAGGACUCUUAAGUUCAUACACAACAGAGAUUCUUGCACACUCUUGUUUGUUACUGCACCACUCAUGGCAGAAUUGAAGCCAACCUAUGUGUCCAUCGACAAAGAAAUUAUAAUGGAAAUGUGAUACACACACGGUGGAGUUUUAUUCAGCCAUAAAGAAAAAAGUUUAUUAGUAGUAGGAAAAUAGAUGGAACUGGAGGUGAAUGUGUUAGACAAAAUUAUUCUCAGACAAAAGCUGUAUGCUUUCUAUCAAAAAUGUAACCUAGAUUUAAAGUUGCAUACACAAUGUGUGUGUGAGUGUGUGUGUGAUUUGUGGGUCUUUGAAGCAGAAGGAAGAAGACUAGAAUUCAUGUGACCUGAAGGCAAUAGAGGGAACUACUUUCAUGGACAGUCAGCCAAGGAGGGGCACAGAUGAGUAUGAGGAAAGGAGAUAAGUUCCUUCUUCUUAAAGAAGGGAGCUCUCCCAUCAGUACCAAUCUGCCAGGGCACAUCAAGUCACAGCAGGAAUAAGCACACCCUCUCCCACUGGGGCCGGACCAGGCAGCUCAGCUAGGAGAAAGAGAUCCAUGGACAGACAAUAGUGUCAGAGACAGCCCUUGCUCCAGUUAUUACAGAACCCACAUGAAAACCAAGUUGCCCCUCACGCUAUGACUCUCUUCAGACAGAAAAGGGAUCUUGGAAC
Long non-coding RNA from Meriones unguiculatus (Mongolian gerbil), 1498 nucleotides. RefSeq lists it as uncharacterized. The record is from RefSeq and is a predicted model, not a curated record. The transcript has 5 exons. NCBI's taxonomy places the organism in Eukaryota, Metazoa, Chordata, Mammalia, Rodentia, Muridae.